This 425-nucleotide ribosomal RNA is filed under the name uncultured cyanobacterium. Its description in RNAcentral is "bacterial SSU rRNA". It matches the Rfam family "Bacterial small subunit ribosomal RNA", at positions 356 to 795 of the family's 1533-position model. Lineage: Bacteria; Bacillati; Cyanobacteriota. The record is from RNAcentral.
GGGGAAUUUUCCGCAAUGGGCGAAAGCCUGACGGAGCAAGACCGCGUGGGGGAUGAAGGUUUGUGGAUUGUAAACCCCUUUUGAUUGGGAAGAAUACUGACGGUACCAAUCGAAUAAGCCUCGGCUAACUCCGUGCCAGCAGCCGCGGUAAUANCGGAGGAGGCAAGCGUUAUCCGGAAUUAUUGGGCGUAAAGCGUCCGUAGGUGGUUUAGUAAGUCCGCUGUUAAAGCGCGGGGCUUAACUCCGUAUCGGCAGUGGAAACUACUAGACUAGAGUGUGGUAGGGGUAGAGGGAAUUCCCAGUGUAGCGGUGAAAUGCGUAGAUAUUGGGAAGAACACCGGUGGCGAAAGCGCUCUACUGGGCCAUAACUGACACUGAUGGACGAAAGCUAGGGGAGCGAAUAGGGAUUAGAUACCCCUGUAGUC